CUAACCCAGUUCCCUCAUCGUGUUCCUGCGCACAACCCUAACCCGGUACCCCCAUCAGGUGUCCCUGCGCACAAUCCUAACCUAGUACCCUCAUCGUGUCCCUGCGCACAAUCCUAACCCGGUACCCCACCAUCAGGUGUCCCUGCGCACAAUCCUAACCUAGUACCCUCAUUGUGUCCCUGUGCACAAUCCUAACCUGGUACCCCCCCCAUCAGGUGUCCCUGCGCACAACCCUAACCCAGUACCCUCAUUGUGUCCCUGCGCACAAUCCUAACCCGGUACCUCCCCAUCAGGUGUCCCUGCGCACAACCCUAACCCAGUACCCCCAUAAGGUCUCCCUGUACACAACCCUAACCCGGUACCCCCAUAAGGUCUCCCUGUGCACAACCCUAACCCGGUACCCCCUCCAUCAGGUGUCCCUGCGCACAACCCUAACCUAGUACCCUCAUUGUGUCCCUGCGCACAACCCUAACCCGGUACCCCCAUAAGGUCUCCCUGUGCACAACCCUAACCCGGUACCCCCUCCAUCAGGUGUCCCUGCGCACAAUCCUAACCCGGUACCCCCCCAUCAGGUGUCCCUGCGCACAACCCUAACCUAGUACCCUCAUCGUGUCCCUGCGCACAAUCCUAACCCGGUACCCCCAUAAGGUCUCCCUGUGCACAACCCUAACCCGGUACCCCCAUAAGGUCUCCCUGUACACAACCCUAACCCGGUACCCCCAUAAGGUCUCCCUGUGCACAACCCUAACCCGGUACCCCCAUAAGGUGUCCCUGCGCACAACCCUAACCUAGUACCCUCAUUGUGUCCCUGCGCACAAUCCUAACCCGGUACCUCC
Molecule: long non-coding RNA, 836 nt
Organism: Antechinus flavipes (yellow-footed antechinus)
Lineage: Eukaryota; Metazoa; Chordata; Mammalia; Dasyuromorphia; Dasyuridae
Exons: 4
Source: RefSeq, a predicted model, not a curated record